RNAcentral lists this long non-coding RNA (1422 nucleotides) under Phaseolus vulgaris (common bean). RNAcentral's name for it is "long non-coding RNA (PVUL_LNC003751)". The record is from RNAcentral. Lineage: Eukaryota; Viridiplantae; Streptophyta; Magnoliopsida; Fabales; Fabaceae.
UAAAACAUGCAUAAAAUCAAAAACUGGUAAAUCAAGCCUCAACCCUUUCCUCCUCCAAGAUAAGGGCCUUCCCUGUUGGUUUUGCCAACAGAUCUGUGUACUCUUGGAAUGGGGAUUUGGUAAAGCGAGUCUCCUUCCAGAAUUCUGGUGUCAGGAAUCCAUAGGUUUUCAUCAGGCAGUCAAAUGUGGCCUGUAAAACAAAAAUACAGGUAUCAAUCAUUUUGAGUACUAAGAAAACAUCAGAACAAUUAAUGCAUGAAAAUUGCAACUCUAGAAUGGAAUCCAUGAUGCAUUUCAAUGCCCUCAAUUGCAGCAAAAAUAUCAUCUAUCACUUCCAUACAACAAAUCAAUAGACCCUCUAUAAUAAAAGAUCUUUCACACUUUCACAUCAGUUUCUAAACGUUACUAACAUUCAUAAACAUAGGUAAAUUGAUGGAUAUUCAAUACUUUGGAAAUUUGUUAAGUAAUGUUUAUUGCUUUAAAACUACCAAUUGUAGACAACAUUGGUAAUGAGUCCAAAUACAUUCAUACACAAUGAAACCACUCCUCUUGCAAACGAAAAAGGUAGAUUUACUGACCAACUACAUUCAAAAAACAUCUUGCGAUUUAGGUGAUAAUAGAUGAUAAUGAACAUGGGACAUUUAUAUCGAAACAUUCUUAUAAAAAAAUCAAACAUAGAUAACAAACAUCCAACCAAAAACCAUAACAAUCAGUGUUCCUGAAAAUACCCUUAAUCCAAAAGGCAAACAAGCGAAUCAAAACAAACAAAUCAUCAACAAUCCAUAAGAAGAAUCGGACAAAAUAAAUCACAAAUUUUCAUAGUUUCCACAAUUGCAUCAUAAACCACCGCACAUGAAGCAGUCACUCAAUUAGUACCUACAUAUUUCCAAUUCAAAACCCUAAAAGAGACUAAUUUGCAAGAGAAAGCAACACAAACCUUAACGAAAUUGCCAAGAGUCUUGGUGGAUCCUCUGGAGGAGGUGAAAACAUCGUCGAUUCCAGCGAACUGCAGCACCUUCUUGGGAACCCUAGCCGCCACAAUUCCCGAACCCCGAGGUGCGGGCACCAUCCUCACGGUAACAGAACCGCACUUGCCAGUAACCUUGCACGGAACGGUGUGGGGCUUCCCGAUCUUGUUACCCCAGUACCCUCUCCUAACGGGGAUAACGGAAAGCUUCGCCAGAAUGAUGGCGCCACGAAUAGCGGUGGCCACCUCCUUGCUACACUUAACGCCGAGACCCACGUGGCCGUUACUGUCGCCAACCACAACGAAGGCCUUGAACCGGGUUCGCUGACCAGCCCGGGUCUGUUUCUGGACCGGCGUGAUUUUCAUGACCUCGUCCUUGAGGGUGGGACCCACGAGGGUGUCGAUGAUUUGGUGCUCCUUGAUGGGAAGGGAGUGGAGGUAGAUCUGUUCCAAGC